AUGUCCUCAAGCGAAAGUGAUAGUGGAGGGAGUAAUUACUCAAAUGAAGAGUGUGACGAAGAUGUACAGCUGAUCAACUUACAUGAAAUGAUGAUAAGCAAUCUUGCUUCUGCUGUAACUGUUGUUGAAAAGUACCACAUGGCCUACUUGGAUAAGAAUGAACCUAGGACUUCAAUUCUCAGUGGAAUGGGCUGGGUGAAAGAAACCUUGCGCGCUCCAGGGGAGAGCCACCGCAUGUUUCGUAUGAAUUCUACAAUGUUUCACAAUCUGCAUGAUCUUUUAGUGAGUACGUAUGGUCUGAAAUCAACUACGCAUAUGAGUACUUUUGAAGCUCUACCACUCUUCUUGUACAUCUGUGGUGGAUAUCACUCAAAUCGGGGAGCGCAAAAUCAAUUUAAGCAUUCCAGUGGCACAAUCAGUAGAAAGUUUGAUCUUGUUCUGCACAGCUUGGUAAAGAUGUCUAAAGAUUUUGUGCGACCAAAAGAUCCAAACUUCUCUACGGAGCAUGGUAUGACUGAUAAGCAUUUUCGUAGAUUUGAUUGGAGUCCUAACUAUGUUCCGACAAUACCAACGAGGUAUAGGAAAUAUAUUAUUUCUCAAGAUGCAUCAGACUCAUCAACAUCAAGCACGAGUGAUAGGUCAAUGGAUAAGUUCCGUGACGACCUUGCAAAGGCAGUUGCUGAAUCUACAAGCUAG
Molecule: ribosomal RNA, 696 nt
Filed under: Triticum aestivum (bread wheat)
Lineage: Eukaryota; Viridiplantae; Streptophyta; Magnoliopsida; Poales; Poaceae
Description: partial small subunit ribosomal RNA
Source: RNAcentral